AUAAAAGCCGACGUUAUUAAAUUCCACUUGGAUGUUGUAGCUGCCUGCCUGCUCUCUUUAUUAAAAAGGGUGGUGGCAGCCUUAGGGACGUUAAAAAUUGGCCAGCCCCCAGAAGAGACUCUCCUUGGCCGAGCCUGCAGGAUUACAGAGGAAUAACUUUGUCAGUGUGCGUGACUACUUUGUGCUUUGUGACGCUACCUGCACCUCCCAAAUCACCCUGUGACCUCCCCUCGGGGUUUGUGCCCCCUAGGACCUGCUAGUUAGACGGCACUGGAGGGAAGGAGAAGGCCACGCUCCUGAAGCCAGCACCGUUUGCAGCUGAUGGAGAGAGCGGCGCAUCUGUGACCCGAGGAGAGACUGGAAAAUCUGUGUCGUCACAGCGAGCUCAGAUUUUGCAGCUUCAGUGUGAAUUUUAGAAGCGAUCUUGCUAAAAUAUGCCUCUCUGAGUGGGUCCUGUGACCAGCUCGGGGCCGGGCGCUGGGGACACAGGGAGCAGUCUGUGAACCGAAGGAACAUUUGAGCCCACCGCUGACCAUGGAGGGGAACAGAUUCAAUGCCAAACAGGGUCUGUCAAUAAGCAGCUCUUACCCUUGGUCUUAGAGCUGUGCUCCGAGGCACCGACUUCCGAAGAACCCCAGAGAGAAGGCAACAGUUCCAAGUCCUGUACUUUGCCCCCUGUGAUGACAUUUCUGUGUCUCACUAUUUGUAACGUUUGUGUUCCCAGUUGCUGUCCACAAACACGGGGCUCGCCUCCUACCCCUCGUAUCCAGCUCACCGCCCGGCACACAAAUGGCAGAACUGAGGAGACAGGAAACGAAGGUCCAUAUCCUGAGAUGGAAAUAGGUACACCAGGUGCGUGAGUCCCCGGGGUCGGCGCCAUCACUGCAGGUGGACGCGCCAGGCUCUCCCCUGCUCUGCGAGGAGGGCUCAGCGUCUGCCAGUCUCCCAGCAGUGACAACAAGCGCCUGGAUUCCGUAAUUCAAUUGAGGCGAAGAACGGGGAGAAACGAGGCGGCUGCAGUUUAUGGCAAGGAAUCAAAGAGGAUGAAAAUAAGAGAAGAAUUCACGAGAGGAAGAAAACUGCAAAACUGUAGACCCACCAGAGCGAGGUUCUCAUCCUCUCUCACAAGCUCCCCCGGCCCAUCCCGGAGAGGCCAAGCUCAAAGCCAUCACCAAAGUGAUUACUCACCAUCCGCUGGAUGGAUCGCUCGGGCCUGGGGAGGAGGAGGAAAAGGAGGGAAGUCAAUUGACAAACGCUAGGGUCCACUCCUCCCUCACUCCGCUCCACGAGCCCAGAGGGGUUUAAUUUCCCGGUCUGAUGCUGUGGAGGGAGAAAGUUUGAAAAGCCUUCAAAAAUGUUUAGAAACUUCCCUAAGCCUGAAUUUUUGAAAUUGUUUUUUUAUUUUCAUAAAAUGUGGUGUUUAUAGUUUGUCUGUGCUUCUCAUUCUUCCUGCUUCCUGGGGCCUUUGCACAGGGCCCCGCUUGAACUCAGCUUCAUCUUUACUUAGCAGCAGAGUGACCCUGGGUGCAAUCGCU
This 1535-nucleotide long non-coding RNA is filed under the name Equus caballus (horse). RNAcentral's name for it is "lncRNA (ENSECAG00000058936.1)". Lineage: Eukaryota; Metazoa; Chordata; Mammalia; Perissodactyla; Equidae. The record is from RNAcentral.